UUUCGGAGCCGCGCGUUCGCUCCGUUGUUCUUUCAAGUUCAGUGGGGAGGAAAGUCCGGACGCCGCAGAGCGGGAUUCCUCGCGAAAGCGGGGGAGGGUCGCUUAAAGGCGGCUCGACGGCCAGUGCCACAGAAAAGAUACCGCCUGCCGGAUGAUUUGAAAUUUGAAAUCUCAAAUUUGAGAUCCGAAGGCGGGUAAGGGUGAAAAGGUGGGGUAAGGGCUCACCGCGGUUCAGGCAACUGGACCGGCAGGGUAAACCCAAUCCGGCGCAAGACAAAAUAGGGGACCUGGGCUGCUCGUCCAUUUGGGUCCCGGGUAUGUCGCACCACUUCUUCGGAAGGGGCUCUCGCUUCGGCGGGAGACAGAUAAAUGAACGUGGCUUCGCUUCGGCGAAGUACAGAAUCCGGCUUACAGGCUCCGAAACUAG
This 427-nucleotide RNase P RNA is filed under the name Pelagicoccus sp. SDUM812003. RNAcentral describes it as "RNase P RNA component class A". It matches the Rfam family "Bacterial RNase P class A". From Rfam's summary of the family: Ribonuclease P (RNase P) is a ubiquitous endoribonuclease, found in archaea, bacteria and eukarya as well as chloroplasts and mitochondria. Its best characterised activity is the generation of mature 5'-ends of tRNAs by cleaving the 5'-leader elements of precursor-tRNAs. Lineage: Bacteria; Pseudomonadati; Verrucomicrobiota; Opitutia; Puniceicoccales; Pelagicoccaceae. The record is from RNAcentral.